UGCAAGUCGAACGGAAGUCGUUGUAAUGAAAUAGAAACGGACAGAGAACUUGUUCGAAGAAAGUGGAAGUAGACUUACAACAAUGGCUUUAGUGGCGGACUGGUGAGUAACGCGUAAGGAACCUGCCUUCUAGGGGGGAAUAACAAUGAGAAAUCAUUGCUAAUACCGCAUAUGCCGAGAGAAUCACAUGGUACAAUCGGGAAAAGAGUAAUCUGCUAGAAGAUGGCCUUGCGUCUGAUUAGAUAGUUGGUGGGGUAACGGCCUACCAAGUCGACGAUCAGUAGCCGGACUGAGAGGUUGAACGGCCACAUUGGGACUGAGAUACGGCCCAGACUCCUACGGGAGGCAGCAGUCGGGAAUAUUGCGCAAUGGAGGAAACUCUGACGCAGUGACGCCGCGUAUAGGAAGAAGGUUUUCGGAUUGUAAACUAUUGUCGUUAGGGAAGAGAAAGGACAGUACCUAAGGAGGAAGCUCCGGCUAACUACGUGCCAGCAGCCGCGGUAAUACGUAGGGAGCGAGCGUUAUCCGGAAUUAUUGGGUGUAAAGGGUGCGUAGACGGGAAGAUAAGUUAGUUGUGAAAUCCCUCGGCUUAACUGAGGAACUGCAACUAAAACUGUUUUUCUUGAGUGCAGGAGAGGUAAGUGGAAUUCCUAGUGUAGCGGUGAAAUGCGUAGAUAUUAGGAGGAACACCAGUGGCGAAGGCGACUUACUGGACUGUAACUGACGUUGAGGCACGAAAGUGUGGGGAGCAAACAGGAUUAGAUACCCUGGUAGUCCACACCGUAAACGAUGGAUACUAGGUGUAGGAGAUAUUAAGUCUUCUGUGCCGUCGCAAACGCAGUAAGUAUCCCACCUGGGG
RNAcentral lists this ribosomal RNA (859 nucleotides) under uncultured bacterium. Its description in RNAcentral is "bacterial SSU rRNA". It matches the Rfam family "Bacterial small subunit ribosomal RNA", at positions 56 to 878 of the family's 1533-position model. The record is from RNAcentral.